Molecule: ribosomal RNA, 443 nt
Filed under: uncultured bacterium
Lineage: Bacteria
Description: partial 16S ribosomal RNA
Rfam family: Bacterial small subunit ribosomal RNA
Source: RNAcentral
GGCGGAUUCCGCGGCCGCUGAAGAGUUUAAUCCUGGCUAAGGACGAACGCUGGCGGCGUGCUAAAAAAAUGAAAGUCGAACGGGAAACCCUUCCCCGAAGUUUUCGGAUGGAGGGGAGGGUUUUAUGUGGCGAACGGGUGAGAAACGCGUGAGAAACCUGUCCUGAAGAGGGGGAAAAAAACGGGAAACUGUUGCUAAUACCGAAUGAGACCCCGGUUCCGAAUGGUGCUGAGGAAAAAGGUGGAAUCCGCUGAAGGAGGGGCUCGCGUCCAAUAAGAAAGUUGGUGAGGAAACGGCUAACCAAGUCUGCGGUGGGAAGCCGAACUAAGAGGUUGGACGGCAAAACUGGGACUAAGGAACGGCCCAGACUCCUUCGGGGGGACAGACAGUGGGAAAAUAUUGGGAAAAUGGGGCGAAAGCUUAACCCCGAAAACGCCGCGGUG